AUUGAACGCUGGCGGCAGGCCUAACACAUGCAAGUCGAGCGGUAGAGAGGUGCUUGCAUCUCUUGAGAGCGGCGGACGGGUGAGUAAUGCCUAGGAAUCUGCCUAGUGGUGGGGGAUAACGUUCGGAAACGGACGCUAAUACCGCAUACGUCCUACGGGAGAAAGCGGGGGAUCUUCGGACCUCGCGCCAUUAGAUGAGCCUAGGUCGGAUUAGCUAGUUGGUGAGGUAAUGGCUCACCAAGGCGACGAUCCGUAACUGGUCUGAGAGGAUGAUCAGUCACACUGGAACUGAGACACGGUCCAGACUCCUACGGGAGGCAGCAGUGGGGAAUAUUGGACAAUGGGCGAAAGCCUGAUCCAGCCAUGCCGCGUGUGUGAAGAAGGUCUUCGGAUUGUAAAGCACUUUAAGUUGGGAGGAAGGGCAGUAAGUUAAUACCUUGCUGUUUGACGUUACCAACAGAAUAAGCACCGGCUAACUUCGUGCCAGCAC
This 490-nucleotide ribosomal RNA is filed under the name uncultured bacterium. RNAcentral's name for it is "bacterial SSU rRNA". It matches the Rfam family "Bacterial small subunit ribosomal RNA", at positions 30 to 514 of the family's 1533-position model. The record is from RNAcentral.